Molecule: ribosomal RNA, 253 nt
Filed under: uncultured bacterium
Lineage: Bacteria
Description: partial 16S ribosomal RNA
Rfam family: Bacterial small subunit ribosomal RNA
Source: RNAcentral
UACAGAGGGUGCGAGCGUUGUCCGGAAUCACUGGGCGUAAAGGGCGCGUAGGUGGCGGCCCAAGUCCAUGGUGAAAGCUCGAUGCUCAACAUCGAGUCGGCCACGGAUACUGGGUUGCUCGAGCACUGUAGGGGCAGAUGGAAUUCCGGGUGUAGCGGUGGAAUGCGUAGAGAUCCGGAAGAACACCGGUGGCGAAGGCGGUCUGCUGGGCAGUUGCUGACACUGAGGCGCGACAGCGUGGGGAGCAAAUAGG